GUAGUUUGGCAAUAAAUGUAUAAGUUCAACAUGUGAUGAAGAAUGUAGCUAAAUGCAAUAAUAUUUGUGAAAUGCAGAAUCCCGUGAAUCAAUUCNGUUUGAAUGUGUCUUGCAUCUUUGGGAUAUGCUUGAAGAUAUGUGUGAUUCAAUGUCAAAUGU
This 159-nucleotide ribosomal RNA is filed under the name Coolia monotis. RNAcentral's name for it is "5.8S ribosomal RNA". It matches the Rfam family "5.8S ribosomal RNA". From Rfam's summary of the family: 5.8S ribosomal RNA (5.8S rRNA) is a component of the large subunit of the eukaryotic ribosome. Lineage: Eukaryota; Dinophyceae; Peridiniales; Ostreopsidaceae. The record is from RNAcentral.